CCCUUAGAUGUUCUGGGCCGCACACGCGCUACAAUGGCAAAGUCAACGAGCUUAUCCUAUGCUGACAAGCACAGGUAAUCUUUUCAGUCUUUGUCGUGAUGGGGAUAGACCCUUGUAAUUAUUGGUCUCCAACGAGGAAUUCCUAGUAAACGCAAGUCAUCAACUUGCAUUGAUUACGUCCCUGCCCUUUGUACACACCGCCCGUCGCACCUACCGAUUGAAUGGUCCGGUGAAGUCUUCGGACCGAUGCUGACUCGUCGGCAACGGAAAGUUGAGUAAACCUUACCAUUUAGAGGAAGGUGAAGUCGUAACA
This 313-nucleotide ribosomal RNA is filed under the name uncultured eukaryote. RNAcentral describes it as "partial 18S ribosomal RNA". It matches the Rfam family "Eukaryotic small subunit ribosomal RNA", at positions 1470 to 1796 of the family's 1831-position model. The record is from RNAcentral.